GCCAGGCAUGGUGGUGUGUGCCUAUAAUUCCAGCUACUUGGAAGGCUGAGGCAGGAGGCUCGCUUGAGCCCAGGAGUUUUAGGCUGUAGUGUGCAAUGACUACGCCUGUAAAUAGCCACUGCACUCUAGCCUGGGCAACAUAGGGAGCCCCAUUUCUU
Macaca fascicularis (crab-eating macaque) is the source of this 158-nucleotide unclassified non-coding RNA. It matches the Rfam family "Metazoan signal recognition particle RNA". From Rfam's summary of the family: The signal recognition particle (SRP) is a universally conserved ribonucleoprotein. It is involved in the co-translational targeting of proteins to membranes. Lineage: Eukaryota; Metazoa; Chordata; Mammalia; Primates; Cercopithecidae. The record is from Ensembl.